UUCUGCCCCUGCUUCUGAAUCACUAGGCUUC
RNAcentral lists this non-coding RNA (31 nucleotides) under Mus musculus (house mouse). The record is from RNAcentral. Lineage: Eukaryota; Metazoa; Chordata; Mammalia; Rodentia; Muridae.